CAGACUAGGCUGGACUUGAGAAUCAGACUUGGCUGGCUAGACUUGAGAAUCUGACUAGGCUGAACUUGAGAAUCAGUUUGAAUAACAUGUGAGGUUUGAGGAGCUGUCACUUUCACUCAUGAUGUGUGUGCACCUACCAACCUUAACUUUUAUCUCAUUGUUUCUCUUUAAAUAUUAUUGUACCAUGAACCAUUUUGAAUUAUGCAAUAAACUUAUUCUACUCGCCUCUUUCUCAUGUCU
This 240-nucleotide long non-coding RNA is filed under the name Brassica napus (rape). Its description in RNAcentral is "long non-coding RNA (BNAP_LNC000539)". Lineage: Eukaryota; Viridiplantae; Streptophyta; Magnoliopsida; Brassicales; Brassicaceae. The record is from RNAcentral.